GGCCGGCAAGUCUGGCUACAUCUUCUGUGCCUCUGACCCGUCCAAGAAGAGACUCGCUGUGCUGCAGGGAGCUCUCAGGGGCACACUGGAGGAAGGAAAGGAAAACAUCACAAGGGAGAAUGACAAUGAAAAGGAAGGAAGGAAGGAAGGUAUGAGGCUGGACGAAGGAACACUGGGAAGGAAGGAAGGAAGGUAUGAGGCUGGACGAAGGAACACUGGGAAGGAAGGAAGGAAGGUAUGAGGCUGGAUGAAGGAACACUGGGAAGGAAGGAAGGAAGGUAUGAGGCUGGACGAAGGAACACUGGGAAGGAAGGAAGGAAGGUAUGAGGCUGGAUGAAGGAACACUGGGAAGGAAGGUAUGAGGCUGGACGAAGGAACACUGGGAAGGAAGGAAGGAAGGUAUGAGGCUGGAUGAAGGAACACUGGGAAGGAAGGAAGGAAGGUAUGAGGCUGGACGAAGGAACACUGGGAAGGAAGGAAGGAAGGUAUGAGGCUGGACGAAGGAACACUGGGAAGGAAGGAAGGAAGGUAUGAGGCUGGACGAAGGAACACUGGGAAGGAAGGAAGGAAGGUAUGAGGCUGGACGAAGGAACACUGGGAAGGAAGGAAGGAAGGUAUGAGGCUGGACGAAGGAACACUGGGAAGGAAGGAAGGAAGGUAUGAGGCUGGACGAAGGAACACUGGGAAGGAAGGAAGGAAGGUAUGAGGCUGGACGAAGGAACACUGGGAAGGAAGGAAGGAAGGAAGGUCUGAGGGUGGACGAAGGAACACUGGGAAGGAAGGAAGGAAGGAAGGAAGGAAGGAAGGAAGGAAGGAGGAGGAAGAGAAGGGAGAGAAAUGAUGAAGGAAAUAAAGAGAGAGAGAGAGAGAGAGAGAGAGAGAGAGAGAGAGAGAACAUAAGAACAUAAGAACGCAGGAGUCUGCAAGAGGCCGGUAGGCCUGUACGAGGCAGCUCCUUUGACCCUAAGCUCCCGUGUAUCUAACCCCACCUAAUAUCGCUGUCCAUGAAUUUAUCUAGUCUAUUUUUGAAUGUGACAAUUGUAUUGGCACUCACCACAUGACUGCUAAGCCUAUUCCACUCAUCCACCACCCUGUUAGUAAACCAAUUUUUGCCUAUGUCCCUGUUGAAUCUGAAUUUAUCCAGUUUAAACCCGUUACUUUGUGUCCUACCCGGUUCUCUUACCAACAAAACCUUAUGAAUGUCUCCCUUAUUAAAGCCCUUCAUCCAUUUAUAAACCUCGAUCAUGUCUCCACGCACCCUUCGCCUUUCUAGAGAAUGCAAGUUUAACUGUUUGAGUCUUUCCUCGUAUGGCAAGUUUCUCAACCCCUGAAUCAUCUUAGUCAUCCUCCUCUGCACCGAUUCUAACAUUUUGAUAUCCAUUCUAUAGUAGGGUGACCAGAACUGAACUGCAUAGUCAAGAUGAGGUCUAACUAAUGCUAAAUAUAGUUUGAGGAAGACUUCGGGGCUUCUGUUGCUUACGCUCCUUGAAAUAAAUCCCAGUACCCUAUUAGCUCGAUUUCUAGCUUGAAUGCAUUGUGCCCUUGGACGGAGAUCAGAGCUCACUAAGACCCCUAAAUCCCUCUCGCACCCAGACCUACUUAUGAGAGUGUCAUUAAAGCAAUAGUUAUGUGAGGGGUUGUUCCUACCUACACUCAGAAUACUGCACUUCCCUACAUUGAACUCCAUCUGCCAUUUAUCCGCCCAGUCAUAUAAUCUGUUGAGUUCACCUUGGAGAAUACUAGAUGAGGG
Eriocheir sinensis (Chinese mitten crab) is the source of this 1750-nucleotide long non-coding RNA. RefSeq lists it as uncharacterized. The transcript is spliced from 7 exons. NCBI's taxonomy places the organism in Eukaryota, Metazoa, Arthropoda, Malacostraca, Decapoda, Varunidae. The record is from RefSeq and is a predicted model, not a curated record.